RNAcentral lists this ribosomal RNA (425 nucleotides) under uncultured bacterium. RNAcentral's name for it is "bacterial SSU rRNA". It matches the Rfam family "Bacterial small subunit ribosomal RNA", at positions 354 to 796 of the family's 1533-position model. The record is from RNAcentral.
GUGGGGAAUCUUGCGCAAUGGGCGAAAGCCUGACGCAGCCAUGCCGCGUGAAUGAUGAAGGUCUUAGGAUUGUAAAAUUCUUUCACCGGGGACGAUAAUGACGGUACCCGGAGAAGAAGCCCCGGCUAACUUCGUGCCAGCAGCCGCGGUAAUACGAAGGGGGCUAGCGUUGCUCGGACUUACUGGGCGUAAAGGGCGCGUAGGCGGACAGUUUAGUCAGAGGUGAAAGCCCAGGGCUCAACCUUGGAAUUGCCUUUGAUACUGGCUGUCUUGAGUACGGGAGAGGUGAGUGGAACUCCGAGUGUAGAGGUGAAAUUCGUAGAUAUUCGGAAGAACACCAGUGGCGAAGGCGACUCACUGGCCCGUUACUGACGCUGAGGCGCGAAAGCGUGGGGAGCAAACAGGAUUAGAUACCCGGGUAGUCC